GACGAACGCUGGCGGCGCGCUUAAUACAUGCAAGUCGAACGAGAAGCCAGAGCUUGCUCUGGUGGAAAGUGGCGAACGGGUGAGUAACACGUGAGAAACCUGCCCCAAAGAUUGGGAUAAGCCUUGGAAACGAGGUCUAAUACCAAAUACCUUCCUUUUAACACAUGUUAAAAAGAAGAAAUAGCUCCGGCGCUUUGGGAUGGUCUCGCGAUCUAUCAGCUUGUUGGUGAGGUAACGGCUCACCAAGGCAUCGACGGAUAGCUGGUCUGAGAGGAUGUCCAGCCACAUUGGAACUGAGACACGGUCCAAACUCCUACGGGAGGCAGCAGUAGGGAAUCUUGCACCAAUGAGGGAAACCCUUGAUGCAGCGACGCCGCGU
RNAcentral lists this ribosomal RNA (379 nucleotides) under uncultured bacterium. RNAcentral's name for it is "bacterial SSU rRNA". It matches the Rfam family "Bacterial small subunit ribosomal RNA", at positions 28 to 402 of the family's 1533-position model. The record is from RNAcentral.